CAUCUUGGGCACCCUCUCUUGCUCUCUGAAGAAAACCCAGCAGCCAUGUCGUGAGGUGCUUUACGGAGAGGCCCGUGUGUUACAGACAGACAUGUCUCCAGCACACAGCCAGUGAGCACCAGAGACAUCCUCCAAUAUCACAUUAGUGACCUUGGAAGGAGACCAUCCCACAGCUGAGCUGUCCCAACUGACACAGUGACUGAAGCCCUGUGAGAGAUCCUGAGCAAGAGGCGCCCAGCUAAUCCAUGCCUGUUUUCCUGAUCCCUAGAAAUUGUAUCUGAUAAUUCAAAAAAACGUCGUCUGUAUAAUGAGGAAAUACUGGACUGGCUUUACAUUUCUUCACAUUAAUAUUCAAUAUCAGAAGAUACUGGUGAAAGUUUUGUUCCCAGACUCCGAGGGAAAAAACACUGCGGGAUAUGAACAACCUUAAAACACCUCAACAUGCAUACCAAUAAUAAGGCAAGUUGCAAACCUCUCUGAGCUUUUGGACCCAUUUCACACGACUGUGGAAGCACGUGAACCAGUUCACCUAUCGGUCCUGGCCCGUGGGUGAGGAACUAUCACAGUCCAAAACAGGUCUAAAACUCUGCAGAUAGUGGCCUGGAGUCUUUUUCUUUAAUGUGGCCCCACCCACCCCCAGUUUCUACACGUUUGCCGAGACUGACGCUGAAUAAGCUCCGCCCCCUGGCUCUCCGCGCCUGGGGCCAAAGACUUCCGGCGCUGAGACCCUCAGUAAAACCCGGAGAAGCGGAUUUUGAGCAGCGCACACGCCAACCACGGAACUACGCAUGCUCCGUCUCCAAGCCCGGAGCGCAGGUUGCCAGGACUAACUGCGGCGGCUGCGUGCGGCGCGGCCUCUGGGGCUAGCUGGUGGCGGCGGCCUAGAGAGGCGCAGCGGCUGGUGGGCAGGUGCCCUAAUGCUGGAGUACUAUGAGCUUUCAGAACUUCUGGAGAGACUACAAAGUUCUGGUUGUUAUGGUACCUUUAAUCGGGCUCAUACAUUUGGGAUGGCACAGAAUCAAAAGCAGCCCUGUUUUCCAAAUGCCUGAUAAGGACAACGUUUCUGAGCCAGAUAGUCCCGCGCUUGUAAGUCCUCAGAGGAGCCACAUCCACGGGAAAUAGCAGGCUUAGAAUCUUCAGAAAGAAGCAUCUUUGAAUCUGAGCUUGAUAUUGAAAGAAGAGAUGAAAAACACCAGCUGGAUUAGAAAGAACUGGCUUCUUGUAGCUGGGGUGUCUUUCAUAGGUGUCCAUCUUGGAACAUACUUCAUACAGAGGGCCGCAAAACAAUCUGUAAAAUCUCAAUCUAGAGGCAGACAAAUGAGUACUGAAGAAUGAAGUAAAAUAAAUAUUUGGAAUUACUACUA
Molecule: long non-coding RNA, 1364 nt
Organism: Suricata suricatta (meerkat)
Lineage: Eukaryota; Metazoa; Chordata; Mammalia; Carnivora; Herpestidae
Exons: 8
Source: RefSeq, a predicted model, not a curated record